Molecule: transfer RNA, 89 nt
Filed under: Archangium violaceum
Lineage: Bacteria; Pseudomonadati; Myxococcota; Myxococcia; Myxococcales; Archangiaceae
Description: tRNA-Sec
Source: RNAcentral
GGACCCCGCCGAUCCGGGCGGCGGGGCUUCAAAACCGGUGGGGGGCAUGGAGACAUGUCCCCGGGAGGUUCGAUUCCUCUGUCGUACCG